UUACGGAGAGUUUGAUCCUGGCUCAGGACAAACGCUGGCGGCGUGUAUUAGGCAUGCAAGUCGAGCGAGAAGCCAGCCUUCGGGCUGGUGGAGAGCGGCGGACGGGUGAGUAACACGUGGGUAACCUGCCCCGGAGUGGGGGAUAACCCGGCGAAAGCCGGGCUAAUACCGCAUAAGACCCCCGAUGAGAGAUCGGGUGGUGAAAGCUCCGGCGCCCCGGGAGGGGCCCGCGGCCGAUUAGCUAGUUGGUGAGGUAACGGCCCACCAAGGCGACGAUCGGUAGCUGGUCUGAGAGGAUGAUCAGCCACACGGGGACUGAGAACGGCCCCGACUCCUACGGGAGGCAGCAGCUAAGAAUCUUGCGCAAUGGGCGAAAGCCUGACGCAGCAACACCGCGUGAGGGAUGAAGGCCUUCGGGUUGUAAACCUCUUUUACGAGGGA
RNAcentral lists this ribosomal RNA (441 nucleotides) under Dehalococcoidia bacterium. RNAcentral describes it as "bacterial SSU rRNA". It matches the Rfam family "Bacterial small subunit ribosomal RNA", at positions 1 to 445 of the family's 1533-position model. The record is from RNAcentral. Lineage: Bacteria; Bacillati; Chloroflexota; Dehalococcoidia.